This is a long non-coding RNA of Humulus lupulus (European hop), 637 nucleotides long. RefSeq lists it as uncharacterized. Lineage: Eukaryota; Viridiplantae; Streptophyta; Magnoliopsida; Rosales; Cannabaceae. The record is from RefSeq and is a predicted model, not a curated record. The transcript has 3 exons.
GGUAGCAGCUUCUCCAUUUCUCUUUCUCUAUUCCGCCUCUUAAACUCUAUUCUAACAAUUUAUUUCGUUGCAGACCCAAGGCGUUUCUUAAACAACCUAUUCCGCCUCUUAAACUCCAUUUCGUUGAAGGCGUUGCAGACCCAAGGUGUUUCUAAGGUUAGUAGAGCUGGUAGGUUCGGCACGAAAGGGCUUGCCGUAACGUUUGUUUCUUCCAGAGCAGAUUGAUACUUCCACAUAGACGACACACCCACGACCCCGACACACACACGACCUUGGCACACCCUCAACAGGUGUGGAUAUAUUUUUUGUAAUUAAUAUCUUUUGUAUUUUUUGAAUAAUUUAUUUUGUAUUUGUUUAGUGUAUAAUAUUUGAGUUUUGAGUCCUUUAGUUAGUAUCAUUGGUAUGUAAAUCUUGACAUCUAUUGUUAAGAUAUAUGUGUUUGUUCUUACUUUAUUUUGUAAUCUUGGUAUGUAAAUAAUUAUAGGACUGUUUUGGUUAAAAACAAAAUUUAAGUGAUAAUUUAAAUUAAUUUAUAAAAUAUAAUAAUAGAUGAUUUAGUAUUAAGUAAAAUAUAGUGUUUUUGUUAAUAUUGAAUAAAGAGGAUUUAAACUUGAUCAAUCAGAUUAUUAGCACCCAU